CAUGGCAUUGGAGCUGUAGCUGAUGACUUACCUCUGAUUCUCAAGUGUGACACACAGAGAGAUGACUUUGAAUGGAUUUGGAUUUUGAAUCUCUUUAAUGCUCUGUGAUGCCUCCUUCAAAAGGGCCAAACCUCCUGUUCCUUCUCAGUUUCAGCUAGUGGGAGAGCAGAUAACACCAAUGUCUCUCUCCCCAUGAAGAUGCUCCAGAUUUACAGACCUGUGCCUUCAUGAACACUUAAGAGAUAUGAGAGACUCCUGCACUCCACUCAUAUCCCAAAGAAGCUUCUUUUGUGGAGUCCCUCAACUAGGGGAGCCGUUUGGCACCCCAAAUCCAGUUGGAUGAUCAUGACUACCUAACAGGUGAGUCUGCUCAAAAGCCUGUGUGUGGGCCGGCCAGUGGUGGCACAUGCCUUUAAUCCCAGCACUCGGCAGGCAGAGGCAGGCAGAUCUCUGUGAGUUCGAG
Long non-coding RNA from Mesocricetus auratus (golden hamster), 463 nucleotides. RefSeq lists it as uncharacterized. The record is from RefSeq and is a predicted model, not a curated record. NCBI's taxonomy places the organism in Eukaryota, Metazoa, Chordata, Mammalia, Rodentia, Cricetidae. The transcript has 3 exons.